GAUGAACGCUGGCGGCGUGCCUAAUACAUGCCAGUCGAGCGAACAGAUGAGGAGCUUGCUCCUCUGACGUUAGCGGCGGACGGGUGAGUACACGUGGAUAACCUACCUAUAAGACUGGGAUAACUUCGGGAAACCGGAGCUAAUACCGGAUAAUAUAUUGAACCGCAUGGUUCAAUAGUGAAAGACGGUUUUGCUGUCACUUAUAGAUGGAUCCGCGCCGCAUUAGCUAGUUGGUAAGGUAACGGCUUACCAAGGCAACGAUGCGUAGCCGACCUGAGAGGGUGAUCGGCCACACUGGAACUGAGACACGGUCCAGACUCCUACGGGAGGCAGCAGUAGGGAAUCUUCCGCAAUGGGCGAAAGCCUGACGGAGCAACGCCGCGUGAGUGAUGAAGGUCUUCGGAUCGUAAAACUCUGUUAUUAGGGAAGAACAAAUGUGUAAGUAACUAUGCACGUCUUGACGGUACCUAAUCAGAAAGCCACGGCUAACUACGU
This 495-nucleotide ribosomal RNA is filed under the name uncultured bacterium. Its description in RNAcentral is "partial 16S ribosomal RNA". It matches the Rfam family "Bacterial small subunit ribosomal RNA", at positions 28 to 506 of the family's 1533-position model. The record is from RNAcentral.